GCCGAACUAGCUCAGUUGGUAGAGCAACUGAUUUGUAAUCAGUAGGUCGUUGGUUCGAAUCCGACGUUCGGCACCA
RNAcentral lists this transfer RNA (76 nucleotides) under Holosporaceae bacterium. Its description in RNAcentral is "tRNA-Thr". It matches the Rfam family "tRNA". Rfam says of the family: Transfer RNA (tRNA) molecules are approximately 80 nucleotides in length. The record is from RNAcentral. Lineage: Bacteria; Pseudomonadati; Pseudomonadota; Alphaproteobacteria; Holosporales; Holosporaceae.